GAUCAACGCUGGCGGCGUGCCUAACACAUGCAAGUCGAACGCGAAAGUUCCUUCGGGGAUGAGUAGAGUGGCGUCCGGGUGAGUAACGCGUGGGUAAUCUGCCUUUGGGUGGGGGAUAACUCAGGGAAACUUGGGCUAAUACCGCAUAAUGCAGCGGCUCGACAUCGAGACAGUUGUUAAAGACAGCAAUGCGCCUGAAGAGGAGCCUGCGUCUGAUUAGCUAGUUGGUAAGGUAAUGGCUUACCAAGGCUACGAUCAGUAGCUGGUCUGAGAGGACGGCCAGCCACAAUGGCACUGAAACACGGGCCAUACUCCUAC
RNAcentral lists this ribosomal RNA (318 nucleotides) under uncultured bacterium. Its description in RNAcentral is "bacterial SSU rRNA". It matches the Rfam family "Bacterial small subunit ribosomal RNA", at positions 28 to 342 of the family's 1533-position model. The record is from RNAcentral.